This 27-nucleotide non-coding RNA is filed under the name Homo sapiens (human). The record is from RNAcentral. Lineage: Eukaryota; Metazoa; Chordata; Mammalia; Primates; Hominidae.
UUGGUGAGCACUCACAUGGGAUACAAA